AAAAUCCGUCGAAUUUAGAAAUCGUGAGGGUUCAAGUCCCUCUAUCCC
RNAcentral lists this transfer RNA (48 nucleotides) under Eria discolor. Its description in RNAcentral is "partial tRNA-Leu". RNAcentral also lists the same sequence under 1 other name. The record is from RNAcentral. Lineage: Eukaryota; Viridiplantae; Streptophyta; Magnoliopsida; Asparagales; Orchidaceae.